UGUAAGCGUAUACCAAAGUUGUUGCAGUUAAAACGCUCGUAGUCGGAAUUUGGCAGUUCCGGAUGUGUGCACGUCGUGUGCGCACUUCGCGGGGAUUGCUUUUGUGGUCUUGCGUAGGAUGAGGCACUUUUAUUAGUGAACGUCCUCACGCAACCUCUUUUUACUGUGAGAAAAUCAGAGUGCUCAAAGCAGGCAUUUGCCGUGAGUGUAUUAGCAUGGAAUAAUAGAAUAGGACUCGGUUCUAUUUUGUUGGUUUGUUGGGACUGAGUAAUGAUUAAGAGGGACAGUUGGGGGCAUUUGUAUUCCGGCGCUAGAGGUGAAAUUCUUAGAUUGCCGGAAGACAAACUGCUGCGAAAGCGUCUGCCAAGGAUGUUUUCAUUGA
Molecule: ribosomal RNA, 382 nt
Filed under: uncultured eukaryote
Lineage: Eukaryota
Description: partial 18S ribosomal RNA
Rfam family: Eukaryotic small subunit ribosomal RNA
Source: RNAcentral